Molecule: microRNA, 21 nt
Filed under: Python bivittatus (Burmese python)
Lineage: Eukaryota; Metazoa; Chordata; Lepidosauria; Squamata; Pythonidae
Description: pbv-miR-33-3p
Gene: pbv-miR-33-3p
Source: miRBase by way of RNAcentral
CAAUGUUUCUGCAGUGCAGUU